This 26-nucleotide non-coding RNA is filed under the name Mus musculus (house mouse). The record is from RNAcentral. Lineage: Eukaryota; Metazoa; Chordata; Mammalia; Rodentia; Muridae.
CGGGCGGCGGGUCCAAUCCCGCGGGG